Molecule: ribosomal RNA, 253 nt
Filed under: uncultured bacterium
Lineage: Bacteria
Description: partial 16S ribosomal RNA
Rfam family: Bacterial small subunit ribosomal RNA
Source: RNAcentral
UACAGAGGGUGCGAGCGUUAAUCGGAAUGACUGGGCGUAAAGGGCAUGUAGGCGGUUAUGUUAGUCUGAUGUGAAAUACCCGGGCUUAACCUGGGAUAUGCGUUGGAAACGGCAUAGCUAGAGUAUGGGAGAGGGAAGUGGAAUUUCCGGUGUAGCGGUGAAAUGCGUAGAGAUCGGAAAGAACACUCGUGGCGAAGGCGGCUUUCUGGCCCAUAACUGACGCUGAGGUGCGAAAGCAUGGGGAGCAAACAGG